UGCCAGUGCUCAGAGGCCAUUGCACUUCCUGAGGUCUCCCACUUGCUUCUGCUCAUCGUUCCAGCUUCCCAGGAGGGUCUUUGUAGGGUUCAGUAGUGGUAGCCUAGGUUGCCUCACUCAUCCCAACUGCCACAAGUGUCACAUGCUUCCCCCAAACACCUCCCAUCCCUUCAUCUUACCAUGUGGUUCCAUGGACCAAGCUUGCGCUGGGUGGAGGGGACUCUGCAGGGCGAGAGAGUCAAUGAUGGUGUGAGGAUUUUUGCCCGGUAAGCGUAAGUCUGGUGUAGGGAGGAAGAGUGGAAUUCCUUUUUUUAAGAAUAAGUAAAUCUGGACUGCCAUCCCAACAAACAUUUCUCAGGUUAUUUAUAUCCAACAGGCUUGAUAGACUUCAAACAAGGCUCAAAAACCCUAAGUUGCAGGAGGCAGAGGAGGCCUUCAAGAUGCUGAAAUUAUUUCCCAGCCUUGACUAUACACUAUCGGACAUUUUACUGGAUAGCUUGUGGAUAAAGAAAGGGCCAUUGCUACCGCCUCACAAAUGAGUUUGUAGCAGCUUCUCCUUGAAGUGCAAGCAGAUAUGAACUACAGUAAACUGCUUCAGAGCUGCC
This is a non-coding RNA of Podarcis lilfordi (Lilford's wall lizard), 605 nucleotides long. NCBI's taxonomy places the organism in Eukaryota, Metazoa, Chordata, Lepidosauria, Squamata, Lacertidae. The record is from the annotation of a GenBank genome assembly.